GGGGCCGCUCCCGGCGCCUCCUCCCGGGCCCCGCCGCGCCCCGCGCCCGCUGCUCAACGGCAUCGCCGCCUCCUCCCGCCCGGGUUACGGCCGGCACUCGCGGUGUCAAGCGAGAUAAAACUAAUCCAGAACUGACAGUCCUCACCCUCGUCAUCUUUUUUUUUUUUUCUUUUCUUUUCUAUUUUUUUUUUUUCCUCCUUUCGUGUCAGAAAGCGGGCAGGGGAAGCAGUGCGCAGCCCCGGGGAGGGAGGCAGGCGCUGAGCUGAGCGUUGCACAAUAGCUCUCCACGCACCCAUCACCCAACGCCUCUCGUCGGGGCUGCGGGGUGGAGGUCACCUCACCCCCUCCCUUCGCUGCGACCUCUCCCCGAGCCGAGAGCCGGCAGCUCCCGUCCCCCUGCAGCCCGCUUGCUGGAAGAGCAGAUCCCAAAGUUAGCGCGGACGUCGCGGGAAGGCCGAGGGGAGCCCCUCCGUGUCUCGUGGGGUGCGGGGGGCACGGGGAGCCGGGGAAUAACGGGGAGGAGAGGGAAGGCGGCGCGGUGCUAUAAACGCUUCCUACCGGCUGCCGCGGGGCUCGCUGCGAACAUCCCUCCCCGCGGAGCUGCGCUUUCCAGCUACGAAUAACGCCUGGCGAGGGAGGGAGAGGGCACCCGGCCACUGCUGCGUUGCUGGGGCUGAGAUUGUUAACGAUAUUUUCAGCUCAGAGGGAAAAGAGGCACCCGCCCUGACCUUAGGUAAUUGAAAUUUGAUGGUUAAACUAAUUACGCUCUUAUUCUAAGGGGAAAAAAAUACUAUCGAACGCCAUUUGCUCGUGCAGAUUGGAAGUUAGAAGCGAACUUUUCCGAUUUUUUUUUUUUCCUUUACGUGAGAGCGUAUACAGCCACAGAAAUAUUUACCGCAUCUUUUGAGAGUAUAAUCGCGGAGUGGGUAAUCUCACCCUCCCGUGUGGGAAAAUACAUCUAAUAUACCAGGCGUAAGUACGACGCGCUUUAGAUCUCGCCCUCCUAAAGAUACGACACUAACAGUUACUCUGCUUAAAAUUCGGAUUAUUGUCCUCAGCCGUUUUAUAGAUAAUGGGCACGUGGAAUAAAAUUCCAUUUGGAGAUCUAUUCUACCCAAGUAGGCGCACGGAGUAUCGAUCUGUGUUUGACACACACGGACACACGCACACUGCAGGCGGUUCGUAAGAUGUUCGAACAUUGCCAGCACUUGGGCAUACUGAGCUACUUAUCUAAACAAUCACUCAUUUCCUGCUCAUAUCGAAUGGCUAAUUUGUAAAGAGAGUUAAAACACGUUUACUUACUCGUUUCCAACAGAACAUCUAUGGAACUCUUUAACUGGGGUAAUAGAUAAGUUCCUCUAUUUACUCUGCGUGGAGAGGAAAUGCGGUUACACACACGCACACAGACUCAGCAGCACGCUUUGGACAGAAAAGGGGAGAUUGCUUUAUUAAAAAACAAUAACAACAACACGGCAACCCAGAUUGGAAAAUUAGAGCUUCCACCUGCAUUACCUUAAAAAAAAAAUAAUAUAAAAAAAAAAAAAGCGAGAAAGAAAGAAAGAAAGAAAGGAAAGAUUGCCAAAGCCCAAAGCACGUUCCCGGCGCAGAGCCUCACGCACGCACAAAUACCUGCUGGCCGCCACCAGAUGCGUUGCCCUGCGGUACCGGGCACGUUAUCCUCGGCAUAAGGCAAGUCCGGAGGCUCUAUGGCUGGCUCGGAACAGCAGGCUCCGUGCUCCCGAGGCACGAGCAAACACAACGAAAACCGCUGUCCCGAUUUGUAGGCUCAGCUCUGCGCCGGCGAGCCGAGAGGGUUCUGCUUCCUAUUAUUGACCGCGAUUAGAUCUCGGAGAACGCUCUUUUCGCUGCACCUCUCUACUGUGCGGCUCUGGCGCCGGGUUGGACGGAGAAGGAUGCGGUGCUGUGCGCGGCCGUAAAUCUGCAAGGUGACCCGAGGUGCCGGGCUCAGCCUGUUUCUGCGGGGUUCUAUCAGGCUGCGGAGAUGUGCUGAGGCAGGACCUCCAAAAGGCCUGUUCCAUGUCUUUGUGGUUUUGUUAUCAUAAACAAGAACCCAGCCAAGACCACCAAGUGUUAUCUUGCACACGGCCAUUUCGACAUUUUACUGCAAGAUUUAUGGCUGUAAUAAACAAUCUCUGAAACCCUUCUUUUUUUUUUCCUUUCUCCCCGGUACUUCCCUUUGCAAACUUGUAGCAUCAUCCUAACCUCACAAAGAAAGAAAAGGAGAGGGAAAAUAGGCCGGGUCCCUUAUUCUUACAGAGGGGCUGGGGGCUCUGUUAGCUACGGAAGGAGCCUUUAAUGAGCGGCGUUGGAGCCGGGGGCUCCCGGCCGAGGAGGAGACGGGGACCGCACUGGAAUUAAGUUGAGAGCGAGAGAGUUAAUUGCCGUGCCCCAAGGAGAGCAGCUUCACGCAUACGCAAAGAGGGGGUGAGGGGGUCCCCCUUUUUCUCGAGAAGCAUGCAAACACCGCGUUCCCCUCCGCGCCCGCGGCUCAACCGUCCGGAUGACAAAAGAGAAGAUAAGAACGAGGAGAGUCAUAAUAAUAACAACAACAAUGGUAGUAAUAAUAGAAGACAACCUUUCGCCGUGCCCGGGCACCCACCACAGAGAGGGGCAGGAGGAGGAAGGAUCGCACCCGCAGCCUGGGUUGAAUUUGAUUUGAACCAUUUUGAAUAUAUUUAGCCCCAGCUUUCCCCUCUUGAAUGCGAGGCUGUCCCGAGUUUCAAAGUGACCGAAAAGUGACACCGUGUGCAUUUUGUUUCUUAUUAAUCUUACACAUUGACAGUCUUUGUUAAAUAACAAGGCGUGCCCUUCACCAGGCGACAUUUUCAUAUUUGUUAGACGCGGUGACCUGAAGUUCACCUCGGCCUUGGACUUAGUUUUUCUAAAAGGUCUAUAAGAGUGCCUUUUAGAUAGCGGGGUGCUUUGCCCAGGUCACCACUUCUAAGGGAAAAUUAAGACAAAAAUCGCGGGAAAAUGUAAACGUUAUGGAAUGUACCCACUGUAUUCCCCCCUUUGUUCCCGGCAAUGGCAGAGCCCCGGGGCAGCCACCGCCUUCCGCGGGGGCGCAGCGCGCUCCGCGCUGGGGGGACGCGCCCGUUGGGCCCCCAAGUUCAGCGCUGUGGAGAAGCGGGGACUCCCCCGGCAGAGGCUCUGCUCCCAGCGACGCCGUGUUUGGCGGCCGUGCUCGCUCUGUCCUGCCGUGGUUAAAUAAACACACGUAAAACGUGGUUUGCGCCCGGAUUUUAAAUGAAUGGUCUUUGGGCCACAGCUUCCACGCCGGAGAGCAGCGCGCUGAAAGCGAAGAGCCAAAGGGAAGAAAGGGCUCGCCUCAAAUAAUUCAUCCCUCCCCCCCCCGUCUUAUUGUUUUCAUUUUAAGGGAAUCAUUUAAACACCAAUUCGAAAGAUUCGGUAUUUCCCGAAGCCGAAGUUUGAAAAUAUUCUCGCUGAUAUUUUGAUCCUAGGCUAGACUGAAAAAUACGGAACCCGAGCGACGAAUUGUUUUGGUAAGGAAGCAAAUGGAUUUCCGUCACCUACUCCUGAGUAACCCAGUUAGAGUAGCAGCUUUCGUUCUGGGUGUAUCAAAGACGCAUUGUUGUUCUUGGAAACAAUCUGCCCGCUAUUCUUUAACAAAAUAGAUAUUCGGCCACGGCUUUUAGCUUGUUAUCAGGCUUCGCUCUUACACCAAAUAAAUACUCUAGAUGUGAAAGGUUAAACAAUAUCUGCGGGGAGGGAAGGGUCUCCAAACGGGCAGUGCCAGGGCUGGCUGCGAGGGAGCAGCAGCAGGAGCUCGGGAACCGCGUCCCCACGCCGAGCAAACGCUCGCACACCUUGCUGAGCUCCAGCAGGUAGAGCGGGCGAAGCCUCCAGCAAUAACUCGGGGCUGACCUGAAGUCUCACACCACGCGCAUGUGUUCCCAAGAAAUAUCGCCCGGCUGCCACGAUCCAGCCGUGUCCCUGGCAAAUAAUUCACGCGUAGCCCGUGCGUGGAGGACGGCACAGGCUCUCGCCUUCGGGCUCGAAAGGCAGCUAUGCACGGAUGGUGGUGAGCUGGGAAGAGGAGGCAAACCAACCCUCGCCUCUCCCCAUCCCUCUGGGAAACGACGGGUAAUUCCAGAAGGCUCGGAGCUCCAUCCAAAUCUCGCUGGCAGCCAGCACCCGUAUUCCAGCGGUAGCAAAAGGCGGCCCCGCAGCCCCGCGCCGUCACCGCUCUCCUCCGGCCGGGAAGGUUCCGCACAGCCCUCCCGCACCGGCAACAGCCGCCCCCCGCCCCGGUUAAGAGCGGUUCGGUGGGCGCUACAGAAACGAGAGCCAAAAACAAAGCCGCGGCCGGGAUCGAUACGCGCGUUAAUUGCUCCGCUCCUAUCUUAUCUCCCCGCCGUUUGGCAAAGUGAGGAGGCUUAACGUUAAACCUCUUAAAGCGGGUUACGAUCUAAUAAACAAGGGGAAACGUUUCGCUCCCCGGCCCCGGGAGGCAGCGGCAGCUCUGGGGUGGGGGGACACGCGUGUUUACCUGCCGCGCUGAGCCCGAGAUAUUCAGACACAAAUGUGGCCGAUAAUUCAAGAUGAAAUACAACGUGUAUUACUCUUGAAAAGAGGAAUUUUCUAUCCUUUCCUCGGUAAUUGAGGUCAUUCAGCCAGUAGGGUUCACCUGGAGUCCAUACUGUGAUACACACGUAACUCAAAGCUAUUUUAUCUUUUGUGCUGAUAGUCAAGAUCUCGGCUAUAACAUUGACAUCAAACUCUGUCUGGACGAAUGACUAAGAGUGGUGCAAAACGUAAACUUUUGACCCUCAACUUUUUGACCUGCAGUUGUAACGCCCUUAACCACAAAGAUAUACAAAAGCUAUGCAGCUUCUUUUAGGACUAAGAGACUCGCAGUGUUUGUUUCAAUAGUUCUGCCGUUUCCCCCCAGCUUUCUAAGGGCUUUUUUUUUUUUAAUCUCCUUUUCGCUGUUGAGAAAUCGGAUACUUUUGCAUUUUUAAUUAUUGCUCUUUUUGUUGUUGUUUUUGGUCUUUUUUUUUUUUUUUUUUCCUUCUUCUUCUUUAAUCUGGCAGCUUUGCAAAGUGCUGUUAAAUCAGUUUGCACAGCCUUUCGGCAGCGUUGGAGGGAAGCCUGUACUCAAAGGCGCUAUUUGGUUACAAUUGCAGGUGAAAUGCUGGGUUCUGGCUCGCAGGAGCCCCUGCGACUUUGACAGCUGUCGCUUUGGCUGCACAGGAGACGAAUCGCCCUCCUUUUGGUGCCAGAAGAAGCAGGAAAUUAGCCAGGUUGCAAGUUGAAAAUCUGCCACGCCAGUGCUUUGAAUCCAAUAUGCCACACCUUCCAGCGGGGGAACUGGAAAUUGCCAUCCCGGAUCUGUGUUCUAGGCGGCUGCUUAUGCCGAACCUCCGCACACUUUGUUCACUAUAGCCUUACAAAGAGCAAAUGAAAUGGGGAUUGAAAGCCAGAGAGAUCCGAAGCAGGACAGAGCUCAGCAAAAGAAUGCGGCUCUAUUCUCGCAAGGGAAAUUAUAAAAAAGUUCAUGUUCACGGUUACCAUCCACAUGACCGACGACGACCAAUGGAAAAACCGAACAACUCAUAAAGUUGUAUUGCAAAGUUGUAAAUUUUCAUAAACAACAACGGAUUUAUGGCCUUUUCCUCAUCACUAAGAAGAGGCAGGUCUUAGAGAGGCGCCAUCUUACCACAGAGGCAGCCCCGGAGUUUUUUUUUUUUUCCAGCAGACCUGAAGUUCGCACUAAUUUUAUUAAGAUUGCAAUUAGUCCAUCGGCGGGGACCGAGCGCGGCGGUGAAGGGGAACUUCAGCUCAGACGACGCUCCCGUUCUACUCCGCGUUCGGCCGCCCGAAUAAAGGCGCUUUUCGUGUUUUUUUAUUUUUUUUAAUUAUUUUAUAUUUUUUUAAUUUUAAAUUUUUCACUUUUCAUUCCCGACCUUUUUUUCCCCCCAUCACUGAAAACACUUUCUCGCCUCGACGUCGAGUGGUACGCAGCAGAACGGAUAGCUUUCCCGAAGCGGGGUUGUUUUUCCCCCCCUUUUUUUUCUUUUUAGCCCCAUUCCCGUGCCCCCCCGGCCUCGGAAAGCCGCCCGUCCUCAGCCGAGCGUUCACCCCGGGAAGUUUCGCCCCUCACUUUUUGCUCUUUCCCAUAUCUGGUUUCCCUACGUGCGAAUGGGGCUCCGUCACGGCCGCCUGGGCCGGGCUCGGGCUUUCUGGAGGAGCACGGUGGAAGGAAGCCCUGCCAUAAAGAAGCUUUCCGCUUUAUUAAUCAACCGCGCCGGGAGAAAUAAAGAUAUUAAUUUAGGAAAAAAAAAAAAAGAAAAAAAAAAAGAAAGAAAAACCACGAAGUCCAGAUAGAGAAAUUGACUGAUUGCCGCCCAUUCGUCACCUCGGAUUAUUUUAUUCUUUUCGAUCAUGGGGGAAAAAAUAAUAAUAAUAACCAUGUGGUCGAAUUUCUUUAGUGGUGCGUCUUCAUUAUUUUUUACCCUUCCUUCGAACUGCUUCCCUCAUAAUAAAAAAAGGCACAAUUAAUUGUCAACAAGCAUCUUUAUUUUCCGUGUGACAUAGAACACAUUUAUCGUGGGGGAUACUUGAACACGGGAUCACUUCCAAAGAGAGUUCACAGACAUUUUCUUUUUUUUCUCCACUUCCAAUACUUACACGGCAUAUCCAAAUGUUCACAACGAACACAUCGAAACACAUCGUAACAUACAGUUGUUUGAAUAAACUUUAGCCAAACCUU
Long non-coding RNA from Gallus gallus (chicken), 6754 nucleotides. RefSeq lists it as uncharacterized. The record is from RefSeq and is a predicted model, not a curated record. The transcript has 4 exons. NCBI's taxonomy places the organism in Eukaryota, Metazoa, Chordata, Aves, Galliformes, Phasianidae.